Tripterygium wilfordii is the source of this 80-nucleotide small nucleolar RNA. RefSeq annotates it as small nucleolar RNA U31b. Lineage: Eukaryota; Viridiplantae; Streptophyta; Magnoliopsida; Celastrales; Celastraceae. The transcript has a single exon. The record is from RefSeq and is a predicted model, not a curated record.
GAAAAUGAUGAUAGCUAUUGUCGCCCCAGGCUUAUUUGCAUAUCCUGAUGCAAUAUGGUGAUUGACCUUCUAUCUGAUUC